UUUUAUUGCUACAGCUUUUUUUCCCAUUGCAAGUUGAACUUUUAAGCCACAUACUUUUAACACCAAACAUACUCUAAAUUGGAUCUCAUAGAUUGCUUUGAAAAAAAAUCGAAGUUCAUGCCUACAUCUAGAGAAUUGUCAACGUGCGGUGCCCAACUUUUUGAGAGGCCGGCCCAACAUUGCCCCACUUGGGCCAUGGCUAGCAAGAGGCCCAUUGCUUUUUCCUUUUUUUUCCUUCCAA
Molecule: long non-coding RNA, 241 nt
Filed under: Citrus x clementina
Lineage: Eukaryota; Viridiplantae; Streptophyta; Magnoliopsida; Sapindales; Rutaceae
Description: Citrus clementina (C. clementina) long non-coding RNA (CCLE_LNC004414)
Source: RNAcentral